RNAcentral lists this small RNA (5384 nucleotides) under Pongo abelii (Sumatran orangutan). RNAcentral's name for it is "retained intron". The record is from RNAcentral. Lineage: Eukaryota; Metazoa; Chordata; Mammalia; Primates; Hominidae.
GGGAGAUAGCGACUGUCAGUCGGUGGGUCGGUCCUCGCGCCGGCCCUCCCCCUCCCCGGUCUCCGGGGGAGGCGCGGUGGAGUCCGUCCCCGGGGUUCUCCGAUGGGGGAGAAGCGGCGACGGCGGCAGUGGAGUAACCGAGCCGGAGCGUGAGCGGCCCCGGUGCCCCGUUCCCCGCGGAGGCCAUGGGCGACCCAGCCCCCGCCCGCAGCCUGGACGACAUCGACCUGUCCGCCCUGCGGGACCCUGCUGGGAUCUUUGAGCUUGUGGAGGUGGUCGGCAAUGGAACCUAUGGACAGGUGUACAAGGGUCGGCAUGUCAAGACGGGGCAGCUGGCUGCCAUCAAGGUCAUGGAUGUCACGGAGGAUGAGGAGGAAGAGAUCAAACAGGAGAUCAACAUGCUGAAAAAGUACUCUCACCACCGCAACAUCGCCACCUACUAUGGAGCCUUCAUCAAGAAGAGCCCCCCGGGAAACGAUGACCAGCUCUGGCUGGUGAUGGAGUUCUGUGGUGCUGGUUCAGUGACUGACCUGGUAAAGAACACGAAAGGCAACGCCCUGAAGGAGGACUGUAUCGCCUAUAUCUGCAGGGAGAUCCUCAGGGGUCUGGCGCAUCUCCAUGCCCACAAGGUGAUCCAUCGAGACAUCAAGGGGCAGAAUGUGCUGCUGACAGAGAAUGCUGAGGUCAAGCUAGUGGAUUUUGGGGUGAGUGCUCAGCUGGACCGCACCGUGGGCAGACGGAACACUUUCAUUGGGACUCCCUACUGGAUGGCUCCAGAGGUCAUCGCCUGUGAUGAGAACCCCGAUGCCACCUACGAUUACAGGAGUGACAUUUGGUCUCUAGGAAUCACAGCCAUCGAGAUGGCAGAGGGAGCCCCCCCUCUGUGUGACAUGCACCCCAUGCGAGCCCUCUUCCUCAUUCCUCGGAACCCUCCGCCCAGGCUCAAGUCCAAGAAGUGGUCUAAGAAGUUCAUUGACUUCAUUGACACAUGUCUCAUCAAGACUUACCUGAGCCGCCCACCCACGGAGCAGCUACUGAAGUUUCCCUUCAUCCGGGACCAGCCCACGGAGCGGCAGGUCCGCAUCCAGCUUAAGGACCACAUUGACCGAUCCCGGAAGAAGCGGGAGGAGACAGAAUAUGAGUACAGCGGCAGCGAGGAGGAAGAUGACAGCCAUGGAGAGGAAGGAGAGCCCAGCUCCAUCAUGAACGUGCCUGGAGAGUCGACUCUACGCCGAGAGUUUCUCCGGCUCCAGCAGGAAAAUAAGAGCAACUCAGAGGCUUUAAAACAGCAGCAGCAGCUGCAGCAGCAGCAGCAGCGAGACCCCGAGGCACACAUCAAACACCUGCUGCACCAGCGGCAGCGGCGCAUAGAGGAGCAGAAGGAGGAGCGGCGCCGCGUGGAGGAGCAACAGCGGCGGGAGCGGGAGCAGCGGAAGCUGCAGGAGAAGGAGCAGCAGCGGCGGCUGGAGGACAUGCAGGCUCUGCGGCGGGAGGAGGAGCGGCGGCAGGCGGAGCGCGAGCAGGUAGAGCGCCGCACCCACAUCCCUGCCCUCCCGCCCUCCCGCUCCUGCUGCCUGCCGCCCCUGCUCCCCGUGCCCUUCCCCCUUCUCUCCCCCACCCCCAGAUUCCUCCUAUCUUUUCUAGCUUCACUCUUUCUCUCUGUUUUCUCCCACCCUUCAACCCCAACCCUGGCCCCCUCCCUCCUCCUUCCCUGCCUCAUUCCCAUCUCUUUACCCCAUCCCUGACUCCCCGGUCCCUUCCUCAUCCCCCCUCAUUCCCUGUGCCCUCUUCUUCCCCAUCUGUGCCGCAUGGCCCCCUGGGGCUCAUGCCAUCCCCUCCCCUACCUCUCUCUUACUCUUCCCCUGCACCCCCUCAUCCUCCUCCUGCGGAUCCCUUCCUCCUCCUCCAACUCGCUGCUGCUGCCCUCCUCUGCCUCUUCCUCCUUCUCUGCCCUCUGCCCCCCACCCCACACCCCGUCCCCCAGGAAUAUAUUCGUCACAGGCUAGAGGAGGAGCAGCGACAGCUCGAGAUCCUUCAGCAACAGCUGCUCCAGGAACAGGCCCUGCUGCUGGUAACGGGUCCCUCAGCGUCCUCUGGGAAGAUGCUUUUCAGAGCUUCUUUGCUGGAACGGGAUGGGAACACUUCAAGGGAAGGGAUUCACCCAGGACAUCAAGGGAAUACAUCUCCUCUCUAGGCAGUUGGAGGAAAGAGAGCGCAUGCCUGCUCUAACUCCCAGGGCCACACCCUGCUGAGCCCUGUCUCCCUACCCUUGGGCCCAGGAGUACAAGCGGAAGCAGCUGGAGGAGCAGCGGCAGUCAGAGCGUCUCCAGAGGCAGCUGCAGCAGGAGCAUGCCUACCUCAAGUCCCUGCAGCAGCAGCAACAGCAGCAGCAGCUUCAGAAACAGCAGCAGCAGCAGCAGCUCCUGCCUGGGGACAGGAAGCCCCUGUACCAUUAUGGUCGGGGCAUGAACCCCGCUGACAAACCAGCCUGGGCCCGAGAGGUAGAAGAGAGAACAAGGAUGAACAAGCAGCAGAACUCUCCCUCGGCCAAGAGCAAGCCAGGCAGCACGGGGCCUGAGCCCCCCAUCCCCCAGGCCUCCCCCGGGCCCCCAGGACCCCUUUCCCAGACUCCUCCUAUGCAGAGGCCGGUGGAGCCCCAGGAGGGACCGCACAAGUCCCUGCAGGACCAGCCCACCCGAAACCUGGCUGCCUUCCCAGCCUCCCCUGACCCCGACCCUGCCAUCCCCGCACCCACUGCCACGCCCAGUGCCCGAGGAGCUGUCAUCCGCCAGAAUUCAGACCCCACCUCUGAAGGACCUGGCCCCAGCCCGAACCCCCCAGCCUGGGUCCGCCCAGAUAACGAGGCCCCACCGAAGGUGCCUCAGAGGACCUCAUCUAUCGCCACUGCCCUUAACACCAGUGGGGCCGGAGGGUCCCGGCCAGCCCAGGCAGUCCGUGCCAGUAACCCCGACCUCAGGAGGAGCGACCCUGGCUGGGAACGCUCGGACAGCGUCCUUCCGGCCUCUCACGGGCACCUCCCCCAGGCUGGCUCACUGGAGCGGAACUGCGUGGGAGCCUCCUCCAAACUGGACAGCUCCCCAGUGCUCUCCCCUGGGAAUAAAGCCAAGCCCGAUGACCACCGCUCACGGCCAGGCCGGCCCGCAAGCUAUAAGCGAGCAAUUGGUGAGGACUUCGUGUUGCUGAAGGAGCGGACCCUGGACGAGGCCCCUCGGCCUCCCAAGAAGGCCAUGGACUACUCAUCGUCCAGCGAGGAGGUGGAAAGCAGUGAGGAGGACGAGGAGGAAGGCGAAGGCGGGCCAGCAGAGGGGAGCAGAGACACCCCUGGGGGCCGCAGCGAUGGGGAUACAGACAGCGUCAGCACCAUGGUGGUCCACGACGUCGAGGAGAUCACCGGGACCCAGCCCCCAUACGGGGGCGGCACCAUGGUGGUCCAGCGCGUGAGUGAGCCUCUGCUCCCUCCCCUGUACCUGUGUGUGCCCUCCUCAGCCCCACGCCAACCCUACUCUCUGUCCUGUAGACCCCUGAAGAGGAGCGGAACCUGCUGCAUGCUGACAGCAAUGGGUAUACAAACCUGCCUGACGUGGUCCAGCCCAGCCAUUCACCCACCGAGAACAGCAAAGGCCAAAGCCCACCCUCGAAGGAUGGGAGCGGUGACUACCAGUCUCGUGGGCUGGUAAAGGCCCCUGGCAAGAGCUCGUUCACGAUGUUUGUGGAUCUAGGGAUCUACCAGCCUGGAGGCAGUGGGGACAGCAUCCCCAUCACAGCCCUAGUGGGUGGAGAGGGCACUCGGCUCGACCAGCUGCAGUACGACGUAAGGAAGGGCUCUGUGGUCAACGUGAAUCCCACCAACACCCGGGCCCACAGUGAGACCCCUGAGAUCCGGAAGUACAAGAAGCGAUUCAACUCCGAGAUCCUCUGUGCAGCCCUUUGGGGGGUCAACCUGCUGGUGGGCACGGAGAACGGGCUGAUGUUGCUGGACCGAAGUGGGCAGGGGAAGGUGUAUGGACUCAUUGGGCGGCGACGCUUCCAGCAGAUGGAUGUGCUGGAGGGGCUCAACCUGCUCAUCACCAUCUCAGGGAAAAGGAACAAGCUGCGGGUGUAUUACCUGUCCUGGCUCCGGAACAAGAUUCUGCACAAUGACCCAGAAGUGGAGAAGAAGCAGGGCUGGACCACUGUGGGGGACAUGGAGGGCUGCGGGCACUACCGUGUCGUGAAAUACGAGCGGAUUAAGUUCCUGGUCAUCGCCCUCAAGAGCUCCGUGGAGGUGUAUGCCUGGGCCCCCAAGCCCUAUCACAAAUUCAUGGCCUUCAAGUCCUUUGCCGACCUCCCCCACCGCCCUCUGCUGGUCGACCUGACAGUAGAGGAGGGGCAGCGGCUCAAGGUCAUCUAUGGCUCCAGUGCUGGCUUCCAUGCUGUGGAUGUCGACUCGGGGAACAGCUAUGACAUCUACAUCCCUGUGCACAUCCAGAGCCAGAUCACGCCCCAUGCCAUCAUCUUCCUCCCCAACACCGACGGCAUGGAGAUGCUGCUGUGUUAUGAGGACGAGGGUGUCUACGUCAACACGUACGGGCGGAUCAUUAAGGAUGUGGUGCUGCAGUGGGGAGAGAUGCCUACUUCUGUGGCCUACAUCUGCUCCAACCAGAUAAUGGGCUGGGGUGAGAAGGCCAUUGAGAUCCGCUCUGUGGAGACAGGCCACCUCGACGGGGUCUUCAUGCACAAACGAGCUCAGAGGCUCAAGUUCCUGUGUGAGCGGAAUGACAAGGUGUUUUUUGCCUCAGUCCGCUCUGGGGGCAGCAGCCAAGUUUACUUCAUGACUCUGAACCGUAACUGCAUCAUGAACUGGUGACGGGGCCCUGGGCUGGGGCUGUCCCACACUGGACCCAGCUCUCCCCCUGCAGCCAGGCUUCCCGGGCCGCCCCUCUUUCCCCUCCCUGGGCUUUUGCUUUUACUGGUUUGAUUCACUGGAGCCUGCUGGGAACGUGACCUCUGACCCCUGAUGCUUUCGUGAUCACGUGACCAUUCUCUUCCCCAACAUGUCCUCUUCCCAAAACUGUGCCUGUCCCCAGCUUCUGGGGAGGGACACAGCUUCCCCUUCCCAGGAAUUGAGUGGGCCUAGCCCCUCCCCCUUUUUCUCCAUUUAAGAGGAGAGUGCUUGGGGCUUGAACCCCUUCCCCCACUGCUGCUGACUGGGCAGGGCCCUGGACCCCUUUAUUUGCACGUCAGGGGAGCCGGCUCCCCCCUUGAAUGUACCAGACCCUGGGGGGGGUCACUGGGCCCUAGAUUUUUGGGGGGUCACCAGCCACUCCAGGGGCAGGGACCAUUUCUUCAUUUUCUGAAAGCACUUUAAUGAUUCCCCUUCCCCC